This 460-nucleotide ribosomal RNA is filed under the name uncultured Capnocytophaga sp. RNAcentral's name for it is "bacterial SSU rRNA". It matches the Rfam family "Bacterial small subunit ribosomal RNA", at positions 338 to 795 of the family's 1533-position model. The record is from RNAcentral. Lineage: Bacteria; Pseudomonadati; Bacteroidota; Flavobacteriia; Flavobacteriales; Flavobacteriaceae.
CCUACGGGGGGCAGCAGUGAGGAAUAUUGGACAAUGGUCGGAAGACUGAUCCAGCCAUGCCGCGUGCAGGAUGAAGGUCCUAUGGAUUGUAAACUGCUUUUGUAAGGGAAGAAUAAGGAGUACGUGUACUUUGAUGACGGUACCUUACGAAUAAGCAUCGGCUAACUCCGUGCCAGCAGCCGCGGUAAUACGGAGGAUGCGAGCGUUAUCCGGAAUCAUUGGGUUUAAAGGGUCCGUAGGCGGGCUGAUAAGUCAGAGGUGAAAGCGCUUAGCUCAACUAAGCAACUGCCUUUGAAACUGUCAGUCUUGAAUGAUUGUGAAGUAGUUGGAAUGUGUAGUGUAGCGGUGAAAUGCUUAGAUAUUACACAGAACACCGAUAGCGAAGGCAUAUUACUAACAAUUUAUUGACGCUGAUGGACGAAAGCGUGGGGAGCGAACAGGAUUAGAUACCCUGGUAGUC